AACGAAACGCUGGCGGCGCGCCUAAUACAUGCAAGUCGAGCGAGAAGACGUAGCAAUACGUUUGUAAAGCGGCGAACGGGUGAGGAAUACAUGGGUAACCUACCCUCGAGUGGGGAAUAACUAGCCGAAAGGUUAGCUAAUACCGCGUACGCUCCUUGGACUUCGGUUCAGGGAGGAAAGCGAUACCGUGGGUAUCGCGCUCUUGGAUGGGGCUCAUGUCCUAUCAGCUUGUUGGUGAGGAACGGCUCACCAAGGCUUCGACGGGUAGCUGGUCUGAGAGGACGAUCAGCCACACUGGCACUGCGACACGGGCCAGACUCCUACGGGAGCAGCAGUAAGGAUAUUGCGCAAUGGGCGAAAGCCUGACGCAGCGACGCCGCGUGGGGGAUGGAAGGCCUGGCGGGUUUGUAAA
RNAcentral lists this ribosomal RNA (412 nucleotides) under uncultured bacterium. Its description in RNAcentral is "bacterial SSU rRNA". It matches the Rfam family "Bacterial small subunit ribosomal RNA", at positions 32 to 429 of the family's 1533-position model. The record is from RNAcentral.